This 433-nucleotide ribosomal RNA is filed under the name uncultured bacterium. RNAcentral describes it as "partial 16S ribosomal RNA". It matches the Rfam family "Bacterial small subunit ribosomal RNA", at positions 29 to 507 of the family's 1533-position model. The record is from RNAcentral.
AACGAACGCUGGCGGCAGGCCUAACACAUGCAAGUCGAGCGCGCCCUUCGGGGUGUGCGGCGGACGGGUGAGUAACGCGUGGGAACGUGCCCUUCUCUGCGGAAUAGCCUCGGGAAACUGAGAGUAAUACCGCAUACGCCCUUUGGGGGAAAGAUUUAUCGGAGAAGGAUCGGCCCGCGUUGGAUUAGGUAGUUGGUGGGGUAAUGGCCCACCAAGCCGACGAUCCAUAGCUGGUUUGAGAGGAUGAUCAGCCACACUGGGACUGAGACACGGCCCAGCCUCCUACGGGAGGCAGCAGUGGGGAAUCUUAGACAAUGGGGGCAACCCUGAUCUAGCCAUGCCGCGUGAGUGAUGAAGGCCUUAGGGUUGUAAAGCUCUUUCAGCUGGGAAGAUAAUGACGGUACCAGCAGAAGAAGCCCCGGCUAACUCCGUG